GAGCAUCUCCAGCAGCUUUGUGCCGGCUCCCGAUGGGCAGCACAGGCUGAGGCGCUGCAGGGACGGCACCCUCAGCCCAACAGCGAGCAGAAGGUGUCUGAAGAGCUCGGAGGGGCAGAUUUCAGCUGCUGAGGGCCAGAGCUGGGACGGCCCCUUCGCUCCACAGGGACCAGAAAAGGGUUUUGGUAGCAAGUCCAGGAGAGGCCCACCCCCACCAGUGAAGAUGAAGAUGAAUUGGUUUGGGUUUGUCUAACACUGAACUGUAUCGUUGCUGUUACCAUAAGACUUCAAAUACAA
Long non-coding RNA from Pezoporus flaviventris, 297 nucleotides. RefSeq lists it as uncharacterized. The transcript is spliced from 2 exons. The record is from RefSeq and is a predicted model, not a curated record. Lineage: Eukaryota; Metazoa; Chordata; Aves; Psittaciformes; Psittacidae.